This 72-nucleotide transfer RNA is filed under the name Camelus bactrianus (Bactrian camel). It matches the Rfam family "tRNA". Rfam says of the family: Transfer RNA (tRNA) molecules are approximately 80 nucleotides in length. Their secondary structure includes four short double-helical elements and three loops (D, anti-codon, and T loops). The record is from Rfam by way of RNAcentral. RNAcentral also lists the same sequence under 2 other names. Lineage: Eukaryota; Metazoa; Chordata; Mammalia; Artiodactyla; Camelidae.
GUAGGUAUAGUUCAGUGGCAGAGCACUUGCUUAGCAUUCACGAGGUCCUGGGUUCAAUCCCCAGUACCUCCA